RNAcentral lists this ribosomal RNA (1931 nucleotides) under human gut metagenome. RNAcentral's name for it is "bacterial LSU rRNA". It matches the Rfam family "Bacterial large subunit ribosomal RNA", at positions 3 to 1977 of the family's 2925-position model. The record is from RNAcentral.
UCAAGUGACUAAGUGCAUGUGGCGGAUGCCUUGGCGAUCACAGGCGAAGAAAGACGCGGCAGCCUGCGAAAAGCUGCGGGGAGCUGGCAAACGAGCUUUGAUCCGCAGAUAUCUGAAUGGGGGAACCCACACCGCAAGGUGUAUCCGUGACUGAAUACAUAGGUUACGGAGGCGAACGAGGAGAACUGAAACAUCUAAGUAUCCUCAGGAAAAGAAAUCAACCGAGAUUCCGGCAGUAGCGGCGAGCGAACCCGGAGGAGCCUAGCUUUUGAUAGUACGAACUUUAGCCGAAAGGUCCUGGAAAGGCCUGCUAUAGUGGGUGAUAGCCCCGUAGGCGAAAGAGUUCGUACGGUACUAAGGAAGCGAGAAGUAGAGCGGGACACGUGGAAUCCUGUUCGAAGAUGGGGGGACCAUCCUCCAAGGCUAAAUACUCGUGAUCGACCGAUAGUGAACCAGUACCGUGAGGGAAAGGCGAAAAGAACCCCGGGAGGGGAGUGAAAUAGAACCUGAAACCGCAUGCAUACAAACAGUAGGAGCCUCACCAGAGGUGACUGCGUACCUUUUGCAUAAUGGGUCAGCGACUUACAUUCUGUGGCGAGCUUAACCGAAUAGGGGAGGCGCAGCGAAAGCGAGUUCGAAAUGAGCGUCCAGUCGCAGGGUGUAGACCCGAAACCAGAUGAGCUAUCCAUGGCCAGGUUGAAGGUGUGGUAACACACACUGGAGGACCGAACCGACUAGUGUUGCAAAAUUAGCGGAUGAGCUGUGGAUAGGGGUGAAAGGCCAAACAAAUCUGGAGAUAGCUGGUUCUCCCCGAAAACUAUUGAGGUAGUGCCUCGUGUGUCGCUCCAGGGGGUAGAGCACUGUUUUGGCUAGGGGGACAUGGAGUCUUACCAAACCAAGGCAAACUCCGAAUACCUGGAAGCGUGAGCACGGGAGACAGAGCACCGGGUGCUAACGUCCGGACUCAAAAGGGAAACAACCCAGACCGCCGGCUAAGGUCCCAAAUAACAGCUAAGUGGAAAACGAAGUGGAAAGGCCGUGACAACCAGGAAGUUGGCUUAGAAGCAGCCAUCCUUCAAAGAAAGCGUAAUAGCUCACUGGUCGAGUCCUUCUGCGCGGAAGAUGUAACGGGGCUAAGCUGUUAACCGAAGCCGCGGAUGCACUGAUUAUUCAGUGCGUGGUAGGGGAGCGUUCUGUAAGUCUGCGAAGGCGGUUCGAGAGGACUGCUGGAGAUAUCAGAAGUGCGAAUGCUGACAUGAGUAACGUUAAAGCAGGUGAAAAGCCUGCUCGCCGUAAGCCCAAGGAUUCCUGCUCUACGUUCAUCGGAGCAGGGUGAGUCGGCUCCUAAGGUCAGGCCGAAAGGCGUAGCCGAUGGGAAUCAGGUUAAUAUUCCUGAACCUGCGUCAGAUGCGAUGGGGGGACGGAGCAUGAAAGAUCAUCCGGGUGUUGGAUGUCCCGGUUGACGAGCGUAGGAGGUCUGCAGGCAAAUCCGCAGACGCAUCUCCAAGGCGAAGUCACGUGCCGCCACGGCGGCGAAGUGAUCGGAAGUGCUUCCAAGAAAAGCCUCUAAGCACCAGUCUGACGCGGACCGUACCGCAAACCGACACUGGUGGGCGAGCUGAAUAUGCUCAGGCGCUUGAGAGAACUCGGGAGAAGGAACUCGGCAAAUUGACACCGUAACUUCGGAAGAAGGUGUGCCGUAGUACCGUGAGAGGAGAGACACCUUGAGCGGGAAUCGGUCUCAGAGAAUAGGUGGCUGCGACUGUUUAUUAAAAACACAGCACUCUGCAAAGUCGAAAGACGACGUAUAGGGUGUGAUGCCUGCCCGGUGCUGGAAGAUUAAUUGAUGGGGUGAGAGCCCUUGAUCGAAGUCCCAGUAAACGGCGGCCGUAACUAUAACGGUCCUAAGGUAGCGAAAUUCCUUGUCGGGU